RNAcentral lists this transfer RNA (69 nucleotides) under Hyla arborea (European tree frog). RNAcentral's name for it is "tRNA-Ala". It matches the Rfam family "tRNA". From Rfam's summary of the family: Transfer RNA (tRNA) molecules are approximately 80 nucleotides in length. Lineage: Eukaryota; Metazoa; Chordata; Amphibia; Anura; Hylidae. The record is from RNAcentral.
GAGGCUUUAUCUUAAUUAAAGUAUCUGAUUUGCAUUCAGAAGAUAUAGGUUAAUGGCCUAUAAGUCUUA